Molecule: long non-coding RNA, 7640 nt
Organism: Lynx canadensis (Canada lynx)
Lineage: Eukaryota; Metazoa; Chordata; Mammalia; Carnivora; Felidae
Exons: 2
Source: RefSeq, a predicted model, not a curated record
CCCUCCCCAUUCAUGCUCUGUCUCUCUCUCAAGAAGAAACCUUUAAAAAAUUAAAAAAAAAAAGAAAAACACAGUCUUGGUUCUGAAAAAGCGAAACCUGCAGCAUUGGCUCCCCGAAGUCCUGGGGAAGAUCGUUCCCUGAAGUAAGUGCAGCUGCUUUCUUGGGGGCUGUCAUCUGGCCCUCUUUCUAGUUUUAAACUUCCACGAGUUAGGGGAUCCCAAGCGAGCAUCAGGCCGGCUUUAGGCGGGCGCCCGUCUCACGAGCCCCUCUCCCUGCUCCCCUCCCCCCCGUGACACCAGUGGGCAGGCCUGCCGAUAAGCAGGUCUCCUUCGCUCUUGUCCUUUGUGCUCUUCAGCUCACCUCUGCCCCUGUUUUAGAAGAAUGAACUUUGAACCUGGGGGGGUGGGUGGGGGCUAGAAGGAAGAGAGCCCUGGAUAGUGUUGUGUAAACACUUCGGUCUGAUCCUUCUAAUCUUUUACUACCUGUAGGGACAGGUGGCUGCAGCAAGGCUGCUGGCAGGAAAGCCUGAUUUUUUCUAGGCUGUGGGUUACGCAACAGAGCAGAUCUUUGAAGCUGCAAAGGGAGGUCAGAGCAGCCUGUCCACAGGCAUAUUACGCACAAGUUUCCCUUUAUAAGACCUAAUUUGCCUGAGUAUCACUAGGAACUUCUGUGCCAACAUUGAGCUGGCUCUCUGGAGUGAGUUGUUACCGCCAGGCUCUAGUUAAAGCAGUCAGUCUUUUUUUUCUUUAAAAAAGGUCUCUACUUUCCAAGGUCUCAAGCAGCUCUCUUCGGCAGCUGUGUUUGGAUAACGGGGUGCGUUCCAUCCUAGCCUGUAACCUCGCACUCACAUCUGCGAAUGUUCGCUCUGUCCAGAAGUGGAGGUAGAUGGCGAUGUAGCAGGUCCGGUGGACCAGGCGGUGCUGAGCUUGCGUCUGGGACGGUGACCAGACCGAUGAAAGGAGAAGGAAGAGAUAUUUUUAGCGCGUCAGGGCCGCUUGGAAACACUGGUUCCCGCCAUCCCCCCUCCCCAAGUAAUUCCAGCAGGGGGUUCGGUGGGGAGUGCAUCUGCUCUAAUUUAGUGUAUAACGCAUUUCACUUCCGUAUUAUACUUCAGAAUAUUCAUGAGGGCUGGUGAGUUGCUGACUUGACAAAGGAGUAGCUUUGAAACCCACAUUAUGGGCUCGGUUUUUAGGGUCCCUAGAUGCAGCCUGAAUGUGUGAUGUUAUUGCAGAGGGCCUCUAGGGGGGCUCCCGGGCCCCAGUGUGGACUGGGAGAACCAGCCACUCCUUUUGCCUCAGAAGUGUGGUUUUCCCUGGAGGUUGGGGCCUGAGGACAUAGUCCACUCUAUUUCUCUUCUCCCGGGAGUGGAUUCAAGCAGGCGUCGCUGUUCUGAUGUUGAGAACAACAUGACCUCUGCCGUUAGGUUCUUACAAGUUGUGGUGCGCCGAUUUAAACCACCGGUGAUGUUAAAUCAACUGAAAAACUCCAGUGAGGUUAUAAAUUAAGUACAACUUAAGGGAAGGGAUGGAAGGGAUCCUGUCUGGGGCGUAGGUGAUCCUCUCCAGAAUCACUUUCGAGACCGGAGGACUUUUGUAUGUGCUGAGAAAAGCGUGAGUUGAUUUCCGUACAAGGGAAGGGUUUCUCUUCGUAAGCUUCUGCUUAGCUGCUCGGUUUUGAUUGAGGUUCCAUCUGUCUCUCCUGGCCGUCAAGUGUAGAAGAAACAACAGAGUGUGUGGAGGAAACACAGGGGUUGGGAUUAGGAGGCCGGAGCCUGGGCUCUUCCCUCCAGCCCCCGACAUGCACCGCGCCCCGCGGGUGCCCGGUGUGGUUCUGCAGGUUACUGGCCUCUCUGUCCCUGCUGAUGUGAUGAGGCAGGAGACCACAUCUGAAUCCCACGCUUGUUAGGUGUGUGACUUUGGCCGCUUAAGGUUACCUAAUGUCUUUUUGCCUCAGUCUCCUCAUCCAUAAAAUGGGAAUUGAAAUAGUACCUGCCUCGAGGGGCUGCUGCAAGGAUUUGAACGUGCAGUAAGUGAAGCGUGCAGGUGAUGGGAUCUGUUCCUCUUCCUUCAGGCUCUUCAGGCUCUUUGGCCUCUGAGUGAGAAACAGUAAAUGGGCCACAGGUUCACGGGAGAGCCAGUCAGAGCGAGUGACGGACCAGGGAAGCUGAAGGGGCCGUGGGCGCUCGAUGCCCUUCCGUUGUGGAGCAGUGCUCAGCUUGGCACCUCCUCACGUGCCCCGUCUCCCUCCCCUGGUGCUUAGACAGCAGUCCUUCCCUCAGCGGAAGAAGUGGCCCUUCUCAGUCCCACGUGGAACACAUGCCCCAGCGUUGCCCUCAGAUGACCUACGUGGUGGAGACAAGGGGCCUCGGGUAGGCGUCGCCGCUGACCUGGAGGUGGUGCCCCCCUCACCCCCCACUUGCUGAGGUCCCCCGCAGCGUCCGCCAGUUUUCCUGCACUUUCAAGGGUCGUUGUCGGACUUAGUCAUGGCGGCCAAGCUCUUUAUUAGCUGGUUCUCCUUGGUGAAAGCCCUUUCACUGAAACUUCCUUCUCAGCCUACACGUUUUAGACUCUCAGCACAUUUCUGUGAGGGCUCAGCUGGCUGCCCUUAAAAGAGCCCCCCUGAGGGGUAAGGAGAGCAGUUUUCACGCUCCUCCCCCCAAAUCAGCCGAUACGUCAUGGCUUCCACCAUGAAAGGUUUUCAGAGGGAGGAAACCGCUUACGAGGCAAGCUUAGAGAGCUUGUGGCUCCUUUCCAGAAUGUACUUAGUGGUUCUGCCCUGCGUGGUGGAGAGCCCCGUUCUCUUAUGUUUGGGUGGCUCCAUCCACUCUCCACCAAGAAUGACGUCCUUAAAGGCUGCCCCCAGGCAGAAGGUCCUUCUGCUGCCCUGCCAGGGGCUUGGGGACUUGGUAAGCGGCACUGCAAAUCUCGGGGGGGGGGGGGGGGGGCUAAUCAGGUGAUCAGUCUGGGGAUGGAAAGACAAGAAGGUGGUAGAAAGUUGUGCUGAUUGUCUUGCAAGUCACAGAUCUGAAAUUUUGUCACGUCUCAUGGGGGUGAGGAGAAGCCAGCCUGAGUAGAGAACGUCUUAAAUUGACUUCACAGUGAACUAAAGUAUGAGAAUGGUAACUGUUCUUUGUCACUCAAAAUUACUAGUCCCAAAAGCCUUUAAAAAGGCCAGCCACUUCUGGUGAUCAAAAUCAACUGUCCUGUUUUUUGCAAACAAACCUGGACGGGGCUGGCCGCCAGUGUGGCUGUGUGCAGCUGCCACCUUGUGGCCAGAACCAGGCAGUGCGUGUGUUACCUGUUGCCGGAUCCCCUGUGUGAAAUGUGUCAAUCUUAAAGCUCUUUUACAAAGAUUUUUCUCAGUCACCCUCUCACUACACAUUCCAUCUCCAGGGCUUAACCAUUCUACUUCUGUCGAAUCUGUACGGGACAAUGUCACUACCAGGCUCCAGGGUCACUACCUUCAGCCUCCAGACUGAUCUUGCUCCAACAUGUUAAUCUGAUUGUGUUUUUUCUCUUACUUAAAGCCCUUUAAUGGCUCUUCCUUACCCAGGUUCCAGCACAUCUCUCAGAAUUUCCCCGAGCCCAAGCUCCUUUGCCCCAGGGCUGCAUCUUUGCACACGCUCUUCUCUCUUCCUCUUCUGUUUAACACCUACUCAUUCUCAAGACUCGUUUCAGGGUUCACCUCCUUCAGGAAGCCCUCUGCACUGUAUUAGAUAUUAGACUUUCAUCUUUGUGUCACAGUGUCUGACAUAUAACUGUUGCUUGCUAAUUAUUAGCGAGUAAAGGGAGGGGGAAGACAAGUAAGCAGAGACCCGAAGCGCCAAAUGUUCCUCUUGGGUGUGAUGGAGCUCAGGGAAGAACGGAGGUGAGCCCAAGGGGCCCUGGAGCAAAGAGCCUCGUGUCCCUGCAGAUGGCAGAGAAACAGUCCCCUCGGUGAGCGACGCUUACCUCUCCUGUACUGUUCCCUCUCUCUGUUAGCCCCUCCUGAUGCUCACUGAUUCAUCCUUUUAAGCAUGCAUCAGUCACAUCACUGUCCUGCUCAAAACCCUCCUGUGCAAGAGUUCGGAUUCCAGGACCUCACAGCAUGAGCUCACCUUACCUGUAUUUCAUACCAUUUCUUACCUGUGCCAUACGUAUCAUCUGAAUCCUAGGACUCGAGGGUCAUUUGCUGUGAGUUUACUUACUUACUUGGCCGGCCGUGUGGCAAAAGCACCGUCUAAAAUUUCAAUUAAGACAUCUGUUAUCAAGCGUCUGUGGGUGUAAGCCGCUGUGCUGGUCACCGGAACCACCAGAAAAGAAGGUGUCGUUCUGUGCCUGCAGAGAGCUGAUAGUCCAGGAGAAGGGGGAAGACGACAAACAUGCAGGCAGCGUUAAGGAACGAGAUAGCAGAAAUGAACAUGUCACAAGGCGGUGUGUGAUUAAUUGCCAAAUAAAUGGCUCAAGAGUGUGGUGGUGACUACAGAAGAUAAUGUAUGUGGAAGUGCCUCUCGGCUGAAAAAUUCCCAGUUCCGGGCAGCACUGCCAUCCGCCCCUGUCCCACUCGGACGUGACUCUGGUUCCACUUCACACACCUAGGCACCUGGACGGCCGUGCAAAGUCCUUGUGGGACGAGGCCCUGCUGGCCCCCCACCCUCGAACCCCGUGCUGCAGCCAUGCUGAAGAGCAGGUGCCACAUACGGUUCCCUCCUCCUCAUCUCCCUUCCUUGUCUAACUUCCUCCUUUCACACCCUGCGCUUCCUUCACCACUCAGCCUAGUGGUCGGUCGUCAGACUCAGGCACACUGCGGGCCGACCUGGCGCAUCCUCCGCCGAGCCUCCCCGCUCCCUUGCCAGACAGGCCUCCCCUCGUGUGCCCGGCGCCCAUCCCUCUCCUCCCUCCGAGGGAGGGAGCCUCCUGCGGCAGGCGCCCCGUCUCUCUCCUUCGUGCUCCUUGCACUUGACACAGCAUCAGACAUGGCGUACGUGUCCCCUGAGCGUUCGUCCCUUAACGCAUUAGGGGACUCCGUGAACAUGAGUUGAUUGACACGGUACAGACGUGACCGUCGCGAGUGGGGAGGCCGGAGCUGAGCCCUGGGGGGGUCCAGGUAGGCUCGCUCCGGCAAGGAGGAAACGCUGAACAGAACGAACAUUAAAAGGGCCGAAGAAGGAGAAGGGAUCCCAGGUGGAGGAGCUCAGUGCCCGUGAGCGCUGACAGCUCGGCCGUUUCUCACAGUACUCGGGAGCCGGAGGGCCUGCCGAGCAGGGGACGGCAGACAGCUUAUUUUAGUUGGAGCAAGGGGUUGUCUAAAGGAAGGAGAGAGAAUGCCCUGAAGGUGCUUUGGACGCCGCUGGUGGAAAGGCCUCAAAGGUACGUGGGUAUCUUGGAGACAGCGGAUGCCAUUUAUUGUUUUCAACAUCCGUGGUGACUUCAAGUGGCGUUGAAAGUGGGAGCUGCCCCGUGGCCCUGUCUUCAUCAUAAGUCGCGGCAUUGACACUCACGCAGAGACCCCCGAGACCAUAGGAUGCAGGUGCGAAGCCCCUCUGCCUCCAUCGCCUCACCUCUCGGGUGAAUCUUCCAUAAGACAAAGGCUUUCCUUCCGGCGCUGCCCUUGACCUGGCCCUGAGCCGUUGAUCCUUUGGGUCCAUUCAGCUCUGCCCUGUGCCUCUACCCUCGUGACUGGUAAUGACCCGGAAGGUGGCGGCACCCACGCAGCAGGUGGCCUCCAAAGCUGAGUCACCACCCUGGGAACAGUGCCCUGGGGAGGCCAGCUUGGGCGAACUAGGAACUCUCCACCUCGCCCGGGCCCUGUAAGGGCUCCCAGUGCAACAGCGAGAGCAAAGGAAAAAUGGGUUCUUGGACGCAUCUAGUGUUGUCACCGAGCUGAUAAGAAGGUGAAAUCAAGCCCACUGAAGAACUGAAAAGGAACUUAUCCUAAUGAUCCAUAAAGGCUGAAUCUAAAUGCAUUUGGAGGUUAGAGGUCAGAUGAUUCUGCCGGAAUCCAUUCCACUCAAAAGAAUGUCUCGACUCUCUGGGUUUGGCAUGCGGUUUGGAGAAAGAGAAUUUUUUUAAGGAGAGAAGUUUUAUUUACUCCUUGACCUAUGGGGUAUGGGAGGACUCACCUUUUGGAUAAAGGUUGCAAAAAAAAGCCUCUAUCAGGUGAACAUACUGAGAGGUUAAUAAGCAUUCAACACCCAGUGACGUGUGGCCAGCCUUUCAGGAAGCUGUGUUAUUGGAUCAGUGUGACAGCAUGAAGCAUCGAAGCCGUUCGAAGUUACUUGGGAAAUACUCGGGCCCUGAUGAGUUAAAAAGGCAGAGACAUCCAGUAAGUGAGUUCCCGCCUGGGCACGGGUGUGUUUAUCCUGCCCUUCAGAAGUCAGAGCCAACAUUCUUAAUGGUUUUGAAUGAUUCAGAAUGUUUCUCUCUCUCUCUCUCUCUCUCUCUCUCUCUCUCUCUCUCUCUCUCUCCGCACACGGGUUAUGACUGAAACUCCUUAGGUGAGGUCCACAGCAGAAACCAGCCUUAUACUUAAUGUCGUGUUUUAUAAUCAUCUUACUUAGAGCAAGAGGAAAACGAUCAAAUACAGCUUCCUUGUUUCAGGGAGAAGACCAAGGCAUGGGGGGGUUGGUCGUCUGGAGGCCACAGAGCUGGAAGGAGAGUCGCCAGUCUGAGCCCGGCCUCAUUCCUCUGACCACACAGCCCCUUGUCCAAACCUUGGGGGGAGGCUCCAGCAGGCCUUUGGCCUCCCGGCCAGGAGAGGCCGCUUGCCCUUUGAGGAAUGUUUAGAAAACUACUUAGGUCAGAGCAGAGAACUUCAUUUUUUACAAAAUGAAACAAAUCAUUUAUUUGACCUAAGCAGCUUUUUCAAAAUCUCUUUUGUCAGUGUUGUGAAUUUAUUAGCUUCUGGGCAGAAAUAAGAGGUAACAUUUCUAUUUCUAUCUCCGUGCCAGAGUAAGAGAACUGAUCUCUCUCUCUCUCUCUCUCUCUCUCCUUCCUUCUUUUUUUGGAUGAGAAUUAACUUAUGUCGCACUAGAUCUUAAUAAAACAAACUUUGAGUCCUUCCCACAGGAGAAAGAAUUGAGCAAUGUUCUGAGAACAUGUUGUACUCUUUUGGGUACCGAGUAAAUGUAAUAUUUAGAAGAUGCUCCAGAAGGCUUAAAAGUGCCCCUUGGUAAUGGAGUAAAGGGAGGGCAGUGGGGGCACAAUGGGAUAGAGAAGCUGGACAGACCAGAGGAGGAGGGCUUUGGGAGAGCAGCUGGAGCGCCGUCCUCCUGCCUGGGGGAGGACCUGAGGGUCCUGCAAGCCCCCAGGAAGGAGUCGUUUCCCCAUGAGCCAAAGUGGGAGCCGGCGGUCGUGGAGCCCCUCCCCCGUCCUGUCCCCAGCACGGUCAAAACCACUUCUUCCUCGGACUCCAUGCCACCUGCGCCAUCCAUAGGGGCCAGGAAAGCACGUGGCACAGGUCCCCGCGCUGACCACGCCGACUGUCUCCCAGGGCUUCCCCAGGUGCCUAGAAAGAAGAAGGGGCCUUUACUUGUGUAAGGGUCACAGCCUGAACCGAGAGACGAAAUAAUUUAAGGAAGAAAACGCCAGUCAAAGAGCGGGAAUUUGCACCAGAUCCCUGUCUGGGAGCCCUCCUGGGGGGCUGCACUGGCCCCGGGUGG